UAGAGUACCUCUUUCAGAAUUUUUCUAAGAGGAUUUUUGACCUUGGUCAGAAAUCCCAA
This is a small nuclear RNA of Mus spicilegus (steppe mouse), 59 nucleotides long. Its record names the gene U7. It matches the Rfam family "U7 small nuclear RNA". From Rfam's summary of the family: Animal histone pre-mRNAs are spliced by a different mechanism than nuclear pre-mRNAs and self-splicing introns. This processing involves the U7 snRNP, which contains only one RNA species: U7. The 5' end of U7 RNA is thought to base-pair to a conserved spacer element downstream of the cleavage site in histone pre-mRNA. The record is from Ensembl. Lineage: Eukaryota; Metazoa; Chordata; Mammalia; Rodentia; Muridae.